Molecule: non-coding RNA, 93 nt
Organism: Myotis lucifugus (little brown bat)
Lineage: Eukaryota; Metazoa; Chordata; Mammalia; Chiroptera; Vespertilionidae
Source: Rfam
GGCCUCCCUCUGUGGGGCAAUCAAUCGUGGGGCUCCCUCUUUGGGGUGAUCAAUUGCGGGGCUCUGUGAUUGAUAGCCCUGCAGAGGGAGGCC